CUAUUUCUCUCUCGAAUUCGUUGUAAGCUGUCGUCUGCGCAUCUGGAGAUUCUUGGGUGUGUGGCUGAUUUGGGCGAAGAGAAGGAGGGUGAUUUUGGAGGAAACGGGAGAGGAGUUUCUACAUGACUGAACGGAAUAAGGCUUGAAGCUUUACAAACAUUGCAGCCUGGGAGGAGAGGAGCUCUUGCUUGCUUGAAAGAAAAGAAGUGGAAGAAUUGAUCAAUUGUGUUUGCUUGAUGUGUCUGCGGUUCAAUCAAUUGUGGUUGUGAUUCCUGCAGUUAGUGCUUCUAAGGCUGUGUAAUUCUUUGUACUUGACAGCCUAUAGGAGACUUGAUUGAUUUUGUGUGCAAGUUCAGUUGGUGCAACAGUAACAUUCAAGUUGGUUGCCUAUAAUUGACAUUCCAAAAGCAGGUGAAGCUGUGAAAAAUAGAAGUGGAUAAUGUGAG
Long non-coding RNA from Rosa rugosa (rugosa rose), 446 nucleotides. RefSeq lists it as uncharacterized. NCBI's taxonomy places the organism in Eukaryota, Viridiplantae, Streptophyta, Magnoliopsida, Rosales, Rosaceae. The record is from RefSeq and is a predicted model, not a curated record. The transcript is spliced from 7 exons.